This 22-nucleotide microRNA is filed under the name Lepisosteus oculatus (spotted gar). RNAcentral describes it as "Loc-Mir-30-P2d_3p* (star (passenger))". Lineage: Eukaryota; Metazoa; Chordata; Actinopteri; Semionotiformes; Lepisosteidae. RNAcentral also lists the same sequence under 2 other names. The record is from RNAcentral.
CUGGGAGAGGGGUGUUUACGCU